RNAcentral lists this ribosomal RNA (408 nucleotides) under Streptococcus agalactiae. RNAcentral describes it as "bacterial SSU rRNA". It matches the Rfam family "Bacterial small subunit ribosomal RNA", at positions 1 to 400 of the family's 1533-position model. The record is from RNAcentral. Lineage: Bacteria; Bacillati; Bacillota; Bacilli; Lactobacillales; Streptococcaceae.
UUAAUGAGAGUUUGAUCCUGGCUCAGGACGAACGCUGGCGGCGUGCCUAAUACAUGCAAGUAGAACGCUGAUGUUUGGUGUUUACACUAGACUGAUGAGUUGCGAACGGGUGAGUAACGCGUAGGUAACCUGCCUCAUAGCGGGGGAUAACUAUUGGAAACGAUAGCUAAUACCGCAUAAGAGUAAUUAACACAUGUUAGUUAUUUAAAAGGAGCAAUUGCUUCACUGUGAGAUGGACCUGCGUUGUAUUAGCUAGUUGGUGAGGUAAAGGCUCACCAAGGCGACGAUACAUAGCCGACCUGAGAGGGUGAUCGGCCACACUGGGACUGAGACACGGCCCAGACUCCUACGGGAGGCAGCAGUAGGGAAUCUUCGGCAAUGGACGGAAGUCUGACCGAGCAACGCCGC